GACGAACGCUGGCGGCGUGCCUAAUACAUGCAAGUAGAACGCUGAAGGAGGAGCUUGCUUCUCUGGAUGAGUUGCGAACGGGUGAGUAACGCGUAGGUAACCUGCCUGUUAGCGGGGGAUAACUAUUGGAAACGAUAGCUAAUACCGCAUAACAGUAGAUAUCGCAUGAUAUCUACUUGAAAGGUGCAAUUGCAUCACUACCAGAUGGACCUGCGUUGUAUUAGCUAGUUGGUGUGGUAACGGCUCACCUAGGCGACGAUGCAUAGCCGACCUGAGAGGGGGGGUGGCCGCCCUGGGAGUGAGACACGGCACAUUCGGCUUGGGGAGGGAGCAGUAGGGCAUCGUCGGGAAGCGGCGGAAGUUAUACCGCGCUGGGCCGAGUGAGGAAAGAGGGUUGUCGGGUCGUAAAGCUCGGUUGUAAGGGAAGAACGAGUGUGAGAGUGGAAAGUUCACACUGUGACGGUAUCUUACCAGAAAGGGACGGCUAACUACGUG
RNAcentral lists this ribosomal RNA (495 nucleotides) under uncultured bacterium. RNAcentral describes it as "partial 16S ribosomal RNA". It matches the Rfam family "Bacterial small subunit ribosomal RNA", at positions 28 to 507 of the family's 1533-position model. The record is from RNAcentral.